RNAcentral lists this ribosomal RNA (446 nucleotides) under uncultured bacterium. Its description in RNAcentral is "partial 16S ribosomal RNA". It matches the Rfam family "Bacterial small subunit ribosomal RNA", at positions 338 to 795 of the family's 1533-position model. The record is from RNAcentral.
CCUACGGGUGGCAGCAGUCGAGAAUCAUUCACAAUGGGCGAAACCCUGAUGGUGCGACGCCGCGUGGGGGAAUGAAGCCCUUCGGAUUGUAAACCCCUGUCAUGUGGGAGCAAGUUAAAAAGAUUGUACCACCCCAGGAAGUGCCCGCUAACUCUGGGCCAGCAGCCGCCGUAAUACCGAGGUCUCAAGCGUUGUUCGGGAUCACUGGGGGUAAAGGGUGCGUGAGUUGUGUCGUAAGGCGUGUGGGAAAGACUCGGGGCUAACCCUCGGACGGCACAUGAUACUGCGAGACUAGAGUGAGGGAGGAGGAGGCGGAAUGCGCGGUGUAGCAGUGAAAUGCAUAGAUAUCGAGAAGAACACUGGUGGCGAAGGCAGGUUCCUGGAGAUUAACUGACGCUGAGGCACGAAGGCGAGGGGAGCGAAAGGGAUUAGAUACCCGUGUAGUC